GAAGAGGUAUUACGAUUGAUGCA
Molecule: non-coding RNA, 23 nt
Filed under: Arabidopsis thaliana (thale cress)
Lineage: Eukaryota; Viridiplantae; Streptophyta; Magnoliopsida; Brassicales; Brassicaceae
Source: RNAcentral